This 469-nucleotide ribosomal RNA is filed under the name uncultured bacterium. Its description in RNAcentral is "bacterial SSU rRNA". It matches the Rfam family "Bacterial small subunit ribosomal RNA", at positions 28 to 487 of the family's 1533-position model. The record is from RNAcentral.
GAUGAACGCUAGCUACAGGCUUAACACAUGCAAGUCGAGGGGCAGCAUGGUCUUAGCUUGCUAAGACUGAUGGCGACCGGCGCACGGGUGAGUAACACGUAUCCAACCUGGCCCAUACUCGGGUAUAGCCUCUCGAAAGGGAGAUUAAUCCCCGAUGUUGUUGUUAUGUCGCAUGAUGUUUCAACCAAAGAAUUUCGGUAUGGGAUGGGGAUGCGUGACAUUAGGUAGAUGGCGGGGUAACGGCCCACCAUGCCUACGAUGUCUAGGGGUUCUGAGAGGAAGGUCCCCCACACUGGAACUGAGACACGGUCCAGACUCCUACGGGAGGCAGCAGUGAGGAAUAUUGGUCAAUGGCCGGAAGGCUGAACCAGCCAAGUAGCGUGAAGGAUGAAGGUUCUAUGGAUUGUAAACUUCUUUUAUACGGGAAUAAAACAACCUACGUGUAGGUGCUUGUAUGUACCGUAUGAAU